Molecule: long non-coding RNA, 1357 nt
Organism: Cyprinus carpio carpio
Lineage: Eukaryota; Metazoa; Chordata; Actinopteri; Cypriniformes; Cyprinidae
Source: Ensembl
AUGCACAGCUCUCAUCCAAACCCCACUCUCUCCCUCCCUUCUCUUCUUUUAGCUCUUAUCUGCUGUAAUUGCUCUCAUAGCUGGUUGGUGGUGAUAACAUCUCCCAGGCUCUGGACUUCCUCCUCUAAAGCCAACACACUUAGAGAGUCUCUGUCUGGACGGUUAGCGGCUGGUGACCAGAGACUCAUCUCAGCACUCCAGACAUGCACUGAUCAAGAAGGAAAAGAGGAUUGGAGGGAGGGGGAAUGGUGUUAAUAUGCAAGAAUUCACUAUGUGUUAUUGACUAAAUGUCUUCAAGUGUGUGCCAGAGGGAAUAAUGUCUUAUGUCCUAUUAGCUCUGUCAAGGGUGAUGGCACAAGGUCAGCUGCUUUAGACGUUUCCCCUCUCCUCCACUUUAAUCUCCCCGUCAUUUUGUCUGUCUGUCCAUAAGUUUCAGUUUGAGCUCUGUUGGCUUUUGCAGAACAAGACUCUGGCUUCAGUGGUAUAUCAGGCUCUGAUUCGUCAAGUUUCAAUUUGAUUUCAAGAGGAGUUCAGUUUCCUCUGUGGAGUAAAAGAGUACAGUAUCUGCUUUAGCACUCAGGAACAGAUAGCAUACAAUAAUAUUCAUUAUUUUAGUUAACUUUUCUCUGAUGAAAUUUUAAGUAAUGAAAAGUGCAAAAUUAAAUAUUCAAACAUAUCACAAUUUAAACAAACAUGACAGCAUUGCAUCUUUCUUACUUUAAACAAAACUAUUUUUUUUUAUCACACUGCCCAUGGGUAUGUACUACCUAAAAGGGAAAUAAACAUCCUCUGAAUUAAUAAAAACAUAUUUAAACAUUUGCAUCUAAUUAAGUGAUGUGCUUUGUGUGUGUGUGUGUGUGUGUGCGUGCGUGUGCGUGCGUGCGUGCGUGCGUGCAUGCGUGCGUGCGUGUGUGUGUGUGUGUGUGUCCGGUUGUACUGGCAUGCAGCAGAAUUCCUCAGCAUGCUGUCCUGGCCGGCUUGGUGGACAUUGACCACGGCUGCUAAGGAUAAACUCCCACUCGACAGCAGAAGGACAAACACACUCUAUUUUUCUUGGUUAGAUUUAAACUCUGCGUAUUAUGCCUCUUGUGUUAAUGACUGAAUACAUGAGCUCUCUUGGUCCUCUCUGAGGUUGACCAGUACUGAAAAGUACACACAGAAAUCACACUUCCAGGCAUGUACUCAUAUUGUCAUUCACACGCGCACACACACACACGCACACACACACACACACACACACACACACACUUACACAGUCCAACAACACAGACUGAACAAGAUUGCCUUCAUUAAACAAAAAUGUAUGUACAUGCAGAAAUAGUGUAAAGCUAAAAGAAUUGCUUUGCCACUCACCCAC